GGCGGUGCUGCAUGCUCCCCAACAGUGGAGGAGGUACAUGUUUGACAGGGGCUUUUGAGUGAACCAUGUGAAAUGCUGUUUGAACCGGACAAGUUAUCAGUUUGGUUAAUCACAGAAGAAAAUUCAGAUUCCCUUGGAGGUUCAUCCUGUGACCUUGGAUUUUGACGAGGCUGUAAUCUGUUCCUUGAAGAAAACAAGUGAAGAAGGUUUACAACCUGUAUCAGCGAAACACCCUGCAGUCAGUAGCUAUCAGUAGCUAAAUAAAUAAACAGAGCACCAGGAAACUGUGAAAAAAACCUG
This 300-nucleotide long non-coding RNA is filed under the name Brachypodium distachyon (stiff brome). Its description in RNAcentral is "long non-coding RNA (BDIS_LNC000931)". The record is from RNAcentral. Lineage: Eukaryota; Viridiplantae; Streptophyta; Magnoliopsida; Poales; Poaceae.